RNAcentral lists this ribosomal RNA (92 nucleotides) under Burkholderiaceae bacterium DAT-1. RNAcentral describes it as "partial 16S ribosomal RNA". It matches the Rfam family "Bacterial small subunit ribosomal RNA", at positions 1 to 92 of the family's 1533-position model. The record is from RNAcentral. Lineage: Bacteria; Pseudomonadati; Pseudomonadota; Betaproteobacteria; Burkholderiales; Burkholderiaceae.
GAACUCAAGAGUUUGAUCCUGGCUCAGAUUGAACGCUGGCGGCAUGCUUUACACAUGCAAGUCGAACGGGGUAAGAAGCUUGCUUCUUAUCU